Molecule: long non-coding RNA, 1330 nt
Filed under: Parus major (Great Tit)
Lineage: Eukaryota; Metazoa; Chordata; Aves; Passeriformes; Paridae
Description: lncRNA (ENSPMJG00000000326.1)
Source: RNAcentral
CUGGAGGUGAAGCAGUGCCCUCAUUCCGCGUUUCUCUGUGUGCCAGGUGUCCCUGCGGGCUGAGAGGAGCCCUUUGCUCAUUGAGGACAAGGGCAGAGGGACCCCGUGGGUGUGCUAAGUGUCAUCAAGGACCGUCUGCUCCUCCGCAGCGCGCUGAGAAGGGACAGGGAUGGUGUCCUGGGCUGAUGACACAAUUCACUUGCGAGGGGCAGUACUUCACCAGGCUCACAGAGGGAACCUGACAAAGCCCCACUGCAAUUUAUACCAACAGCAAUGUAGGUAUUUAUAUGGAAAAUCUGGGGAUAGACUCGGCCAGCUGUUGCCUUUUGCAGAGAAGUCAGAGCCAUGCUUAUGGCAGGUGGGUCAUGUCAUCAGGCCUUAGGCCCCUGGUGCCUGCCAAGGACGUCCAGGGGGGUUGUUUGAAGAUCAGGGAAGGGAGAACAUCAGUGUUGGAAGUUGAUGGGAAAUCCACCCCAGGCAGCAGUGCCUGCUGACUUUAGAAGGAGGAUCCAUAAUGCUGGGUGUUGGGAUGUAGUCUGUGAUGUAUUCCAGGAAGAAGUUGCUGUCUGAAUUGUGCAGUGAAGUUGAGGAGAUGUUGCUGGUAAUGCUGCGGGGUCUCUGCAAGGUCUUACUGGGCUGCACUGACAGCAGGUGUGAUGUGGGUCUCCUAUGAUUGCUCCUGAUUUGCAUCAGUGAGGUCAGGAAGGAAAAUCACUAAUAAGCCCCUCAUCUCAGCAAGUCCCUGGAAAGGACUGAUUUUGGAAAGCUAAGGCUUUAAGAGCUACUUGGCUGGAGGUUUGGUUGGUUGAUUGGCUGGUUGGUUGGCUGGGGUUUUUUGAGUUAUUUGGUUUGGGGUUUUUUGUGUCUUCCAUCUCCCUCGCUGGCUCCUUGCUCUGGUCUUGUCACCAACUGCCAGAAUCAAAGAUGGUCUCCAAGGGAAGGAAGUGAAGCGUUGACAAUGGUGAGGACCUGUUUGCUGCAGGAUUGUUCCCAACAGCCUGUUCCUGAUGGUGUUACUCAGCCUCCUUCUGAAUGCCUCAGAGACAAAAGGGCACCUUUUGCCAUGGCAAGGAAGCUCUCAAAUGGCAAGGUUUCUGCUCAUAACCUGAGCUCUAAGAGCUUUGGGUGGAAACUGGAUGGGAAGAGAAUGUUCCAUGUCAGAGCUGCACAAUUGCCUGUGUCCUCCUCUCCUGGGAGUGGGGAUGCCUUCCCUGUCCACGGACAUGCUGGGACAGUGUCUGUCAGUGCCCUCUCCAACCUUGGCUGGACAGGCAGUUAUGGCCCCAAGGUCUUCGGGGCUGACACAGUUUCAUAUUAUCUCCCUUUUUGA